UACCCGCAGCACAAGUGGUGGUCAUUAUUAUUGGGCCUAAAGCGUCCGUAGCUGGCUUGUUAGAUGCCUGGUGAAAUCGAUGCGCUCAACGUAUCGAACUCCGGGUAGACCGGCAAGCUUGGGACCGGGAGAGGCGUGAGCUACUCGAGGGGUAGGGGUAAAAUCCUGUAAUCCUUCGGGGAGGACCAGUGGCGAAGGCGUCACGCUAGAACAGCUCCGACAGUGAGGGACGAAGCCCUGGGGCGCAAACCGG
Molecule: ribosomal RNA, 253 nt
Filed under: uncultured bacterium
Lineage: Bacteria
Description: partial 16S ribosomal RNA
Rfam family: Archaeal small subunit ribosomal RNA
Source: RNAcentral